RNAcentral lists this ribosomal RNA (469 nucleotides) under uncultured bacterium. RNAcentral describes it as "partial 16S ribosomal RNA". It matches the Rfam family "Bacterial small subunit ribosomal RNA", at positions 38 to 507 of the family's 1533-position model. The record is from RNAcentral.
GGGGGGGGGGGGGGGGGGGGGGGGGGGGGGCGGGGCGGACGGGGGGGCGGUGCGUGCGGGGUGCGCGGGGGGCGGACGGGGGAGUAGCACGGGGGUGAUCUGCCCCUUACGUUGGGAUAGGCCUGGGAAACUGGGUCUAAUACUGGAUAGGACCAUGCUGUAGGUGGUGUGGUGGAAAGAUUAGUUUCGGUAAGGGAUGAGCUCGCGGCCUAGCAGCUUGUUGGUGGGGUAAUGGCCUACCAAGGCGUCGACGGGUAGCCGGCCUGAGAGGGUGGACGGCCACAUUGGGACUGAGAUACGGCCCAGACUCCUACGGGAGGCAGCAGUGGGGAAUAUUGCACAAUGGGCGCAAGCCUGAUGCAGCGACGCCGCGUGGGGGAUGACGGCCUUCGGGUUGUAAACUCCUUUCGGCCAUGACGAAGCCCUUGUGGUGACGGUAGUGGUAGAAGAAGCACCGGCUAACUACGUG